RNAcentral lists this ribosomal RNA (449 nucleotides) under uncultured bacterium. RNAcentral's name for it is "partial 16S ribosomal RNA". It matches the Rfam family "Bacterial small subunit ribosomal RNA", at positions 29 to 523 of the family's 1533-position model. The record is from RNAcentral.
AACGAACGCUGGCGGCAGGCUUAACACAUGCAAGUCGAACGAGAUCUUCGGAUCUAGUGGCAGACGGGUGAGGAACACGUGGGAACAUCCCUUUCAGUUCGGAAUAACGUUGGGAAACUAACGCUAAUACCGGAUACGUCCUUCGGGAGAAAGAUUUAUCGCUGAAAGCUUUGCCCGGGUCUGAUUAGCUAGUUGGUGAGGUAAUGGCUCACCAAGGCUACGAUCAGUAGCUGAUGUGAGAGGAUGAUCAGCCACAUUGGGACUGAGACACGGCCCAAACUCCUGCGGAAGGCAGCAGUGGGGAAUAUUGGACAAUGGGCGCAAGCCUGAUCCAGCCAUGCCGCGUGAGUGAUGAAGGCCUUCGGGUUGUAAAGCUCUUUUAUCCGGGAAGAUAAUGACUGUACCGGAAGAAUAAGCCCCGGCAAACUUCGUGCCAGCAGCCGCCGUAA